RNAcentral lists this transfer-messenger RNA (362 nucleotides) under Vogesella sp. LIG4. It matches the Rfam family "transfer-messenger RNA". Rfam says of the family: Bacterial tmRNA, also known as 10Sa RNA or SsrA, is named for its dual tRNA and mRNA-like properties. Its role is to liberate the mRNA from a stalled ribosome. To accomplish this part of the tmRNA is used as a reading frame that ends in a translation stop signal. The record is from Rfam by way of RNAcentral. Lineage: Bacteria; Pseudomonadati; Pseudomonadota; Betaproteobacteria; Neisseriales; Chromobacteriaceae. RNAcentral also lists the same sequence under 1 other name.
GGGGGCGACCUGGUUUCGACGGGGGUUGCAAAGCGGAUGAGGGCAUACCGGGAUUUCAGUUACCCCGUAAAACGCUGAAUUUAUAUAGUCGCAAACGACGAAACUUACGCUCUGGCCGCUUAAUUGCGGCUAGACUCUACAGCAGCUCGCUGGUGGGCUGUGGGGGCAACCCCGGUAGAGUCAUUUCACACCAGCUCGCAUCGGAUCGGGUCACUUGAUCCGGUGUUAAAUUCAAGGUGACUCGUUACUGCCAAGCCUGUCCGUCGGCGUGUCGGUAAUCAAAUCCAAAUGACACGACUAAGUAUGUAGAUCUCUUCGUAGAGGGCUUCCGGACGCGGGUUCGAUUCCCGCCGCCUCCACCA